This is a regulatory RNA element of 46 nucleotides. It matches the Rfam family "Moco-II RNA". The record is from Rfam.
CGCGCUUAUUUCGUCCUCUGCGUUAAGCAGACUUCGCGAAACCCGC